Molecule: ribosomal RNA, 253 nt
Filed under: uncultured bacterium
Lineage: Bacteria
Description: partial 16S ribosomal RNA
Rfam family: Bacterial small subunit ribosomal RNA
Source: RNAcentral
UACGGGGGGGGCAAGCGUUGUUCGGAAUUACUGGGCGUAAAGGGCUCGUAGGUGGCCAACUAAGUCAGACGUGAAAUCCACAGGCUCAACUUGGGAACUGCGUCUGAUACUGGAUGGCUUGAAUUCGGGAGAGGGAUGCAGAAUUCCAGGUGUAGCGGUGAAAUGCGUAGAUAUCUGGAGGAAUACCGGUGGCGAAGGCGGCAUCCUGGACCGAGAUUGACACUGAUGAGCGAAAGCUAGGGGAGCAAACGGG